RNAcentral lists this ribosomal RNA (702 nucleotides) under Arthonia pinastri. RNAcentral's name for it is "partial large subunit ribosomal RNA". It matches the Rfam family "Eukaryotic large subunit ribosomal RNA", at positions 78 to 802 of the family's 3401-position model. Lineage: Eukaryota; Fungi; Ascomycota; Arthoniomycetes; Arthoniales; Arthoniaceae. The record is from RNAcentral.
CCCUAGUAACGGCGAGUGAAGCGGCAACAGCCCAAAUUUGAAAUCUGGCCCCUUCGGGGUCCGAGUUGUAAUUUGGAGAGGAUGCUUCGGCGACGGCCCCGGGGGCAGUUCCCUGGAACGGGACGCCACAGAAGGUGAGAGCCCUGUACCGCCCGGGUGCCCGCCGCCGUUCGAAUCGCCUUCGACGAGUCGAGUUGUUUGGGAAUGCAGCUCUAAGCGGGAGGUAAAUUUCUUCUAAGGCUAAAUACCGGCCAGAGACCGAUAGCGCACAAGUAGAGUGAUCGAAAGAUGAAAAGCACUUUGGAAAGAGAGUUAAACAGCACGUGAAAUUGUUGAAAGGGAAGCUCUUGCUGCCAGACUUGCCGCGGUCGCUCAGCCGCCCCCCGGGGUGGUGUACUCGUCCGCGGCGGGCCAGCGUCAGUUCGGGCGGUUGGAUAAAGGCUCGGGGAAGGUAGCUUCCUGCGGGGAGUGUUAUAGCCCCGGGUGCCAUGCGGCCAGCCCGGACUGAGGCCCGCGUUCGCGAGGACGCUGGCGUAAUGGUCGCAAGCGACCCGUCUUGAAACACGGACCAAGGAGUCUAACAUCUGUGCGAGUGUUCGGGUGUCAAACCCGUACGCGUAAUGAAAGUGAACGGAGGUGGGACCCCGUACGGGCGCACCAUCGACCGAUCCUGAUGUCCUCGGAUGGAUUUGAGUAAGAGCA